RNAcentral lists this ribosomal RNA (271 nucleotides) under uncultured archaeon. RNAcentral's name for it is "partial 16S ribosomal RNA". It matches the Rfam family "Archaeal small subunit ribosomal RNA", at positions 477 to 747 of the family's 1478-position model. The record is from RNAcentral.
CAGCGCCACGAGUGGUAACCGCGAUUAUUGGGCCUAAAGCGUCCGUAGCCGGUCCUGUAAAUCCUUUGUGAAAUUGAUCGGCUUAACCGAUCAGCGUGCAAGGGACACUGCAGGACUCGAGACCGGGAGGAGUCAGAAGUAUUCCAGGGGGAGCGGUAAAAUGUUAUAAUCCCUGGAGGACUACCUGUGGCGAAGGCGUCUGACCAGAACGGAUCUGACGGUGAGGGACGAAAGCUAGGGGAGCGAACCGGAUUAGAUACCCGCGUAGUCC